This 14961-nucleotide long non-coding RNA is filed under the name Lynx pardinus (Iberian lynx). The record is from RNAcentral. Lineage: Eukaryota; Metazoa; Chordata; Mammalia; Carnivora; Felidae.
UCUCUCAAAGGUAAAUAAACAUUAAAAAAAAAAAAAAAAAAGAGUUGGGGAGACUGAGUGCUCAGUCAGUUAAGCAUCCGACUUUAGCUCAGGUCAUAAUCUCAUGUUUCGUGAGUUCAAGCCCUGCAUCAGCCUCUACACUGACAGUGCAGAGCCUGCUUGGGAUACUCUCUCUCUCCCUCUCUCUAUAUCCCUCCCCCACUGACACCCUUUCUCUCGUUCUCAAAAUAAAUAAAUAAAUAAACUUAAAAAUGUAUAUUUUUUAUUUUUAAGUAAUUUCUCCACCCAACCUGGGGCUCGAACCCACAACCCCUAGAUCAAGGGUCACAUACUCCACUGACUGAGCCACCCGGCUGCCCCCUAAUGGACAGUUUCAUAGGGCUAGAUCGCAUAGCAUUUAGGCUCUUGGUCUUCAUUGGCCACUCCUUAAGUUAUUAUAUCAGUUGUACUGGGGUACCUACAGCACAAGAAAGUAAUUUUACAGGAGUUAAUGUGUUCUAGAUACACAGCUGUCAUCUGGUAUGAUGAACAUGCAUUAUUUUUGUAAUCAUAAAUAUUAACUUUAAAAUAAAGCACAUAUUUUUCUACACAAAGCAUAAAAAUAAGCUAAUCAGUCUGUCCUUGUGAUAGUGACUGAAAGGGAAUUCAAGGAGUGCUUCUGAAGUACUGGUAAUAUUCCGUUUCUUCAUCAGGGUGCUCAUUACACAGGUAUGUUCAGUUUGUGAAAAUUCAAGCUGUACACUUAUAUGUGUACUUUCUUUAUAUGUGCACUUUCCUGAACAUAUAAGACACUUCAGUGAAAAGUUACAAACAAAACAAAACAAAACAAAACACACACACAUACACACACCCACACACACACAGAGCCAGGGACCACAAGGACGAUUUGUAUCCUUAUUGUCUAAAAAAAAUUGGUUUAAGGGCACCUGGGUGGCUCAGUCUGUUAAGCGUCCAACUCUUGAUUUCGGCUCAGGUUGUGAUCUCGCUGUUCAUGAGAUUGAGCCCCAAAUCAGGCUCUGUGCUAACAGUGUGGACAAAGCCUGCUUGGGAUUCUCUCCCUCCCUCUCUCUCUCUGCUCCUGCCCCACCCGCACGUGCUCACAUGCAUGCUCUCUCUCUCAAACUUAAAAAAAAUUUUUUAAGUUGGUUAGUAGUUAAGAAAUUUUUAAAAAUUUAGCAUAAAAAAUAAAUUACAUACAAAAAUAUCACAAGGAUAAAAAUAAUAUUCAUUCUUGCUUGUCUCAUGGAUACUUCUAACAUUGAAAGCAGCACUUGUUAGAACCUAAAAGUCUGCAAAAAUUUCAAGAGCUAUCCAUCAUGGUUUGCUCAGAAUAUAUAACAUGUUCAGCCCAACGCCCUUUAUAUACACCAUCCAAACUGUUCUCACCUCUUCCAGUAGUAUUUUUUUUAUAUUGGGUAACAUAUAAAUCUAUUAAUUGUGGAUCACACGAUUAAAGGGGUCUGAAAGCUCAGCUAUACAGUUGGCCUGGUUUAGACCUCACCAUCCUUGGAUAUAAGUAAAAGUGUUCGUGGAAAAUCAAAGGGUAGGUUUUGAGACUGGUGGAACUUGGUACAGAACGAGACUCCAAGAACAGCCUCUAGGCCCCCUUCCAAAGCAAACUCUGCUAUGGCGGCUGCUCCGCUGUGCUCCAUAAAGCUCAGCACUAGAGGGCAAGACCAGGCUCUGUGGCCUGGAAAAUUACUGCAGUGCAAGUACCAGCAGCUCCUAAAACCAGCACAGAAGUGGUUGCUUCAGAAGACCUCAUGCUGCAAAGCAGUUAUAACCAUGCAGGGCAUCUGAACAACUCCCAGGACAGGGAGUGGUAAGUAGCCUUAGCACCCCUGAGCAGGUGAAUGGCGCCUCAACUUGGACUGAGGGUCCCUGGCUGCCGUGGGCAGGAGAGGUGGCGAGGUGUUUUGCUGCAAUUUGCCUGGUCAUGUCAGAAGGAGAAUGGAAGAGACCAGGGAAAGGAGAGGCCAAGUCUGGGUAAGGUCUCCUACUGCCACAUACGGUGUUCCAAGUACAGACCGCACUGGAUCCAAAGAAAACACACUUAUGUAAAAAAGCAUCGAUGGCUUAAUUCUUACCCUUUGCAUAUGUGUUGAAAGGCUAUUGUUGUUUAUAUGUAUUAUGGUACAAGGAACAAGAAUUCCUAGGUUCUAUUCUUGGACUGGUCACUGAUAAACAAAGUAUCUGCCAGUGGAAAAUAUCAGGUGCUUGGAAAUUCAGAGCUUACCAUCCAUAACCAGGAGGUAUUUAUUCAAGUGCCUAGUGUGUGCCCAGAAUUGGAUAGUGAUUUCAAGAUGCACACAACAGCCAGGUGGCCAGGAUGGCAGCAUAAAGAGACAUAAGUAGGACGCAGGAAUAGGAAUCAGAGGUGCCGUGGGAAUGAAGAGCAGUCCGGCCAGCGCAGCAUGAAACACAGUCCCAGGCCACCGGGAGGACAGGAAGCAGUUGUGCUUCCCUUCAACACUUACCUCUGCCUGAGUGUCAACCCUCAGCCACACCAUCCCCGCUGUGCCCACACAUCGGUCUCAUUUGCUUCUCCUUCUCUGUCUGCCUGCAUCUCAGGUUACUGUUCAGCCCUGAGUUACCUCUGCUACUAGAGGGUCUGUAUCCUUUCCAGGUCAGAAUGGCUGUGGUAACCCUGACCCCAGGAGCUGACAUCUGUGGGUGUGCCUGCUUCAGCCCAUUCAAAGUCAAUCAGAAAUCACAAGGGCCAACCAGAGAGAUGUGUUGCAGAUUUAAGGCAGCAAAAGCCGAUUAAUUCCUGGGCUUGAGAAUACUUUGGGGUUCAGCAGGUAAACCUGGCACUAAAACGGAGACAUAUCAGACCCGGCCUUGUGAGAUCUAGAAAGAGGCUGGUGCAUGCUAUCAUUCUGCCCUGGCUCUGUGCCCAAAUGCAAUCUCUUGGCUCCAGCAACAAGUUAGUCCCAGCAGUAGGUCAAUUAUAGAGCAAAGAACCUAGAAACCAUUUUAGUCCAGACCUCUGCCCUCAGGCAGGAUUUAGCUAAUCCAAUCUGAACAAAUGGGUAUAACUUGUUAAAACCUGCCAGAAUGGAGAGUCUUUAACUUCCAAUAAUAGUCUGUUCCCAGGGCUGCUUUUCAGCUGGUACACACCAGUACAGCUGUACCAGUUAUUAAAAUUCAGAAAUACUUUCUAAAAAAAUUUUUUUAACAUUUAUUCAUUAUUGAGAGACAGAGAGAGACAGAGCACAAGCAUGGGACGGGCAGAGAGAGGGGGAGACAUGGAAUCCGAAGCAGGCUCCAGGCUCUGAGCUAUCAGCACAGACCCCGACGCGGGGCUCAAACCCACGAGCGGUGAGAUCAUGACCUGAGCUGACGUCGGACACCCAACCCACUAAGCCACCCAGGUGCCCCAAAAUUCAGAAAUACUUAUGAACAUGUUGGUAUACAGUGAGUGCCCCAAGCCCUCUGAAUGUCCCACUACCACCCUAACCUGUCCCCAGGAGAGCUUCAUGACUCAGCAGCUAAAGGGUUAAUGCCAGCCACAGCAAGGGACCUUCAGUACCCUGUUUGUUCACGCAUCAUCCAUACUAAAGUAUCAUAACACUGUUUUACCCUUGCCGGUUCCAUCCUAUAAUGCUACCUACCCUAUUCUAAAACUUUCAACUGCUUUUUCUUAUCUACUGAAAAAAUACCAGUCUUUGAGGUUGUUAUUCAAAGUCUUUCAUAAUAUAGCACCAUCCUAUAUUCUCCCUCCUACUCUCUGCUUCAUCAAACCCAGAUGCUCAACAUUCCCGAACAUUAACUUUUCCUUGGUCUUUGUUUACCUUGCUUUCUGCCUGGAAUGGCCUUCUCUUUCCAUAUCCAUUAAAAUCUUACCAACUCCUCAAGAUCUCCUGCAAUGUCACCACUUGCAUGAAGUAUUAGCUGAAAGCGCCACAUCCCAUUUCCAGAAGUGUCACAGCAACAUCUAGAUUCUAUAUUUGUAAAACUUAAUGAUUGUUUCAUAUUACGAUUAUUUUUAUAUAUGCACCUGAACUCUCCCUAGAGAGACAGCUGUUGAGAGGGCAGAAACCAUAAUCUAGUCAUCAUUAUAUCUAAGCGACCUAGCACAAUGCCUUGCUCGAGGUAUGUGCUAAAUAAAUAUUUGUUUAAAUGAGUGAGUGAACAGCUCUAAUUCUUUUGUCCAAGGGACCCAUUUUCUAUCUGUUAAAGAUUUGGGUUGUUUUUCUCUAAAGUUACUCCAAUUGUGGUUGUAUCUCUUUCUACAUAUGGAGCCCAAAUUGCACAUCAUCCAUAUCUUAAACUACUGGGUUAUUCCAUGAAGAUGAAGCAGGAAGCAUGCUCCCCUGUCAUUACUUUGCCACCCUGGAGUUUGUGACUGCCAUUUCUCCAUACACUUCUUCCAGCAUCAGAUCAAUGUACCCGUCACACAGGGACAGGCAAAUGAAAGGUUCUUGGUAAAGGAGGCUGGCCUUAACAGAUGACAGGAAGGCUGAUGGUAGAGUGAGUUGGCAGGGACUGCUAGAGAAAGGAGGCAGGGUGGCUUGUUGGGAAGCAGAGCCAAGAUGGGACUCUGGUUGCUGUGGUCAAGGCCACGGAUGCAGUCCUAGGAGGGAAGUUUUAUUGCCCUGGUUGCUGUUGGUAUGCCAGGGUGUAAAGGAGGGAAUGCUAGCAAGACUUUCCUUACCUCUAUUUUUAAAUUCCUCCUCCCCUGCUCUCCCUCCAGGGGAAGAGUUCUGAGCUGGGAGUAAGACCUAUAGGACAAGAGAGGACUUUGAUGAAAGAUGUCUGGGCUUCUUUAAAACAAAGAAGGAUGGGAAACAAGGAGCCAGAAACCACAGCCACUGUUUAAAUCUCAUUCCAAAAGGAAAUCCAGGAAAAAGUAGAAUACAAUGGGACAGCCCAGCAUGAAAACACCCUGCACAGCAGAUAGGUUUCGGGGUUCUAAGAGGCUGAGAAGAGGAAACAAAUGACCCAUCAGUACCCAGGCUUGGGCUCUCUUUAAAAAUUAUAGUUGGGGUGGUACCUGGUUGGCUCAGUCGGUUGAAUGUCUGACUUCAGCUCAGAUCAUGAUCUCGUGGUGAGUUGGAGCCCCAUAUCGGGCUCACUGCUGUCAGACUGUCAGUGCAGAGCCCGCUUCGGAUCCUUUGUCCCCCUGUCUGUGCCCCUCCCCUGCUUGUGCGCUCCCAAAAAUAAAUAAAUAUAUAUAUUUUUAAAUGAUGGUUAGAGAAAUAAAGACAUUGCUGAAUUGGAAGCUAGGAACAUUUUUCUGGGGAAGGGUCAGUUUGGAAAAGGAAACAAAGAUUAAGGAAACCCAGUUGGGGGGGGGGGGGGGGGGGUGCCUGGCUAGCUCAGUCUGUAGAGCACAUGAUUCUUGCUUUCAGGGUUGUGAGUUUGAGCCCCACACUGGGUGUAGAGCUUACUUAAAAAUAAAAUUUAAAAAAAAAAAAAAAAGGAAACUCAGUCAGAGAGUUAAGAUUCAUCUAGAAGGGAAACCAAACAGACCCAAAGAAUUGAUAGCCAAGGAUGAGAAAGACAACAGGAGUUAGAAAUCAGGAGCCAGCAUGUGAGAUUACGAUGAUGGCAAACUAGUUCUGGUCUCCAAGGAGAAAGCACACUUGAGGUAAGGGAAAAGUGUAUUGGGGGGUGGGAGGGAAGAAGGGACAUCAUUAACUUCAGGGUCACAAAGCAACUGCUUUCCUCUGUUUUUAAUCUGUGCAGAGGAUCCCCCUGGUUACCACAUUAACAAAAUGGUAGCCACAUUGAGAAGAGGUGUCCCAAGGAGAGAAGGGAGAUCCUUUCCCAGGGCCUCCCACCUGCACACACUACAACUGGGCAUGCCCACUUGGGACUGAGUGGCCACAGUAUAGAAGAGUAGGCUCACUCUGUGUUUCAGAGGAAAGAACAAGGCUCAGGGGAGGGAAGAACAAGCUAUGGGAAAGCAAAUUUGGGCCAUCAGAAGAACUCUCCAAUUUGGAGCUGUGGGGCUAAGGCUAAGCAGAGCUGUCUUCAUGAUGUGCUGAAGCACAAGGCUCAAGCAGGAAAGAUCACACAAUCCAAGCAUCCAGACUCCAAGGGACUCUGGAGAUCAUUUAGUUCAACUUUCUCCUACCUGAGAAGCUGUCAUUUUCCCCAUGAUCCUCCAACUAGCUAGUGGCAGAACCAGGAUUGGAACCCCAGUCUCUUAACUCACAGCCAGAAUUACUUCAACAGAGAGGUUCUGCCGUAAGUAUAUGUCUCUACCCUGAACCAGCUCAAUUACUGACCUCAGUAAUUCCCUCUCUUUGGCCACUGGAGGAGGCAAAGCACCACACCCAACUCUUGCAGAGCAGUUGACACAAGGACCUGUCCAAGCACCUUCUCACCGCAAUGUCAUCGCCACACCUUCACAACUUCCUGAAAGUGGGAAGUGAAGGUAUGGAAGACAAUGUGCUAGAACUCCUCAGGCUUGGGCAGGGAACCGCCUCAUCUGGGAGUUUCUCCACUCCUUUUUCCUGCCAUUACUGUCCUUUUACAGUCCCUGACACUUUCAGAGUUUUACUUUGUUAGCUCCAUCAACAGUACAUUGAAAAUAACUUCGGAUGGCCAGGCUGUUGAAUUCAAACGAGGAAGAGGUCUUUCCCUCCCAUUUCCCUAGGAGGAAACUGAGGCACAGAAAAAUUAACUGGCUUUGUCUAAGUUAAAAAAGAGGAGUAGGAAUCUAACUACUGCCUGGUCCACCGUGUCGUGCAUUGUCUCCAAGAGCAGGGUCUGGUGAGUUUAGUAGGUUCCGCAGCGUUCCAAGGAGAGCUUCUCAUAACUAGUUGGAGGGAUUGCCAGAACGAGGAGAGGGGUCGGCUCAGUAAGGAAGAGGAAGGGCCUGGGAGGGGGGCGGCAUAGGGGAAGGGGGAGGUGAGGGGGGUCUCGGAGGUAUGGUUAAAAUAAAGAACCCCAGAAAGCGCAGCAGGACUGGAAACGGAGCAAGCCACAGAGAAGGCGCUGAGCAAAGUUUGGGCCGCGCUAACCGGAGCGCGCCGCCUCGGCGGACACCGGCCGAGGGCACCCAGGGCACAAAUCCCCAGCCCGCGCGUGGACCGCGCGUUUGUCUCGCUGGGGGGCUGCAAGCCGAGCGCUCUGGAUGGAGGUGCCCGGCGUCUCGGCCGGCAUCCCCGCGGGGCGGGCGGGAGCCUCUCUCCCCGCCGUCCUCCUAGGGGAGCAGCGAGCAGCCCCAAGGAUGUCCCCGGCGGGCAGGCCCGGGCUCGGAACUCGGCGACCGGCCCCCCACGCCCCCCUNNNNNNNNNNNNNNNNNNNNNNNNNNNNNNNNNNNNNNNNNNNNNNNNNNNNNNNNNNNNNNNNNNNNNNNNNNNNNNNNNNNNNNNNNNNNNNNNNNNNNNNNNNNNNNNNNNNNNNNNNNNNNNNNNNNNNNNNNNNNNNNNNNNNNNNNNNNNNNNNNNNNNNNNNNNNNNNNNNNNNNNNNNNNNNNNNNNNNNNNNNNNNNNNNNNNNNNNNNNNNNNNNNNNNNNNNNNNNNNNNNNNNNNNNNNNNNNNNNNNNNNNNNNNNNNNNNNNNNNNNNNNNNNNNNNNNNNNNNNNNNNNNNNNNNNNNNNNNNNNNNNNNNNNNNNNNNNNNNNNNNNNNNNNNNNNNNNNNNNNNNNNNNNNNNNNNNNNNNNNNNNNNNNNNNNNNNNNNNNNNNNNNNNNNNNNNNNNNNNNNNNNNNNNNNNNNNNNNNNNNNNNNNNNNNNNNNNNNNNNNNNNNNNNNNNNNNNNNNNNNNNNNNNNNNNNNNNNNNNNNNNNNNNNNNNNNNNNNNNNNNNNNNNNNNNNNNNNNNNNNNNNNNNNNNNNNNNNNNNNNNNNNNNNNNNNNNNNNNNNNNNNNNNNNNNNNNNNNNNNNNNNNNNNNNNNNNNNNNNNNNNNNNNNNNNNNNNNNNNNNNNNNNNNNNNNNNNNNNNNNNNNNNNNNNNNNNNNNNNNNNNNNNNNNNNNNNNNNNNGGCCCGCCUCUCCUCCGCCGCCUCCCGCUCCGGCUCUUUCUCCCAGCUCUGGGCGCGACCGCACUCCCACCUGUCCCGCCCCCGCCCAGGCCCCGCCCCCGGGGCACAGGUGGACUCCGCCCCUGAGAAGCCCCAGGAAGAGGGGAGAGCCCCUCUGGGUGGCGAGAGAUGCGGCCAGAGAUUGGCGCCACCGCCAACUCGGGACGUUUGGGGUGUAGGAGGGGGCCAGUUCUGAUCCGAAACUAGUGUGAUCGAGGGCAACUGAGGUACCGCCCAGGCAUUUGGUGGUGGUGCGCCCCAAGCCGAAGUGAAGUAGAAACUGGGUAGAAGCGGGGUGGGGGAGUGGGGGAGAGGUCAUGCUGGGGAAGAGUUGGGGGUACCGCCUGAGGCUUGGCUCCAGGGCCUUUCGUGGCCCGUGACGACCCUACUUCCUACUUUAGGUAUCAAGAGUAGGCAUGAUAUUAGUUGGAAGGCAAUGACCACUGAACUCCAUCAGUUUCUUCCUCCAGGUUGGAUCUGAACACCCUUCUGUCCCAGACUCAACCACAUCAACAAGAGAUGCUGGGGAGGUUGUAUGUAUCCCAGACUGAACCCCCAAAUGGUUUCUCCCAGACUGGGAUGAAAUAGCUGUUAGGGGAGAGUAGAUGGAGCGUUCUAAAGAAGAAUUAAAAAUAAAACAGAAAGGGACUCAGAAUUGAAAAGAUCAUCAAGAUAUUCUGUGUUCCAGUUCUCUGCCUUCCAGCAGGUAAAAUAAUUAUUAUCUGAUUUAAGGUAGAUAAUUGAGGUCCAGGGGAGCAGAGUUGCCUAAGGACAGUCAACAGGUAACAACAGUGCAGUUUUCUUUUCCACUCUCCUGGGGGAAAUGGUCAGGAGACUAUGAAAGAAAUGAAGGAUCAGAAGCAUUCCCGGAUAUUUUUUAAGUUUGUUUGUUUGUUUGUUUGUUUGUUUGUUUGUUUAUUUUGAGAGAGAGAGAUAGAGGAGGGGGAGGGAGGUGGGAUGGGGUAGAGAGAGGGACUCGGACCAUGAGAUCAUGACCUGAGCUGAAUUCAAGAGUCAGAUGCUUAACCAACGGAGCCACCCAGGUGCCCCUUUUCCCAGAUAUUUUUAAAUCAGACCGACAACAUGCAAAUAGUGUUCCAAGACAGAAGUUCACAGAAUUGAGUACUGUGUUUCCCCUUCUCACUGCUAACACUUUAGUUGGACGCUCAAUAGUCCACUAAUCUUUAGGGACUGUUGUACUUUUCCCAAUUAGCCCCCAGCCCCCAACAUACUCUCCACUACCACCAGAUAGUCUUUAUAAAAUUCUUUUACAUAUUCAUACUGUUGCUCAAAAAUAUUUAAUGGCUUCUUAGUGCUUACUGAUUAAAAUGCAAACUGUAAACCUGGAAUUCAAGGCUUUCCAAAACCUUUUCCAACUUUAUAUGACCAAUGAAACAUGCUUUGGCUAAAAUGAAUUCAUUCACCACGCUCCAAUACAUUUUGUUUUUUAGCUGGUCAAGUUUGGCCUUUGCUUCAAGGUCCAUUUCAGGCUCUAUGAAGUUUUCUUGGACCAGCCCAGUCUUGAACAACCCCAUCCUGCUUGGAGCUUUAGUAGAACUGACAGCCUGCCCCACCCACUGAUAUGUACAGAUUCCCCAACCUCACUGUGAGGCUCCAAAAGUGGGAAAUUUGCCUUCUCAAUAUGGACCACAAAAUCCAUUUUAGCAUUCAUUAAUGUUUGAGGAGCAAACAUCCCUCAGAACUUUCGGUAUACUUCGUUUAAAAAAGGUGGAUCUGAAGAACAAUUCUCUCACAGUAGCCCCAAGAAAAUGUCUGCAAAGUUCCAAACCAUAGAUGUGACAUUUCCCGUGCUCUUUUCUCUCUCCAAAAGACUGAGAGACAGGAGCAGCCAGUGUGGACAAGCUUGGCUGAGGCAGGUGGGAGGUGAUCAGGGUCUCGGUAAAUAGAGCUUUUCUCUCUCUGUUUCUCUCUCUCUUUUUUUCUCUCUUAUUGGGAGCAACCAGACUGGCUGUUAGGCUGAGUCACUUUCAGGACUUUGUGAUGGAAACAGGUGGCAUCCCUGCCACAAUCUUCUCUUCAAGACUAGCCCUCCUGGGAGAACACAUACAACCACUUCCAUCAACCAAACCAUUGAACUAUCUAUUAUGUGGGAACUGGGAGAGAUAUAACACAGAGAGCAUGCCAUUUAGUCUAGGAGAAAAGAUAUUCCAUAGAAAAAGAGAUCUAACAACAUAAAGGCUGAUUUUCUGGUCCAAACAGUGAAUUCCAAAGAAAUUCAGAAAAGGAAAGAGAUCACUUUGCGUACCUCAGUUCUUUGCCCUCCUCUUCCCACUCUAUGUUCUUAUACCUUAAAGAGAUCAUUUCUGGGGCAUCUGGCUGGCUCAGUUGGAAGAGCAUGCAGCUCUUGAUCUUGGGGUCAUGAGUUCAAGACCCACAUUGGGUGUAGAGAUUACUUACAAAAAAAUGAAUAGAUCAUUUCUUUCUCUACUUAUGGUGAGAAGGUGCAGGGGUAGGCAGGGAUAAGGAGGGUGGGAAACCUUGUGGCUCUCUCUCCCUCUUCUCUCUCUUUCCCGCUGUGGUUACCUCCCUGGCACAGAGAUAUCCCUCACCCCCCAAGUCUGCUUUCAGACUGCUUGCUCCAAAUCCCUUUUGACUCCUAAUGAUAUCACAGCAAGGCAGCAGCCAGACUUUGAGACCCAAAUUCUUUUUUCGAUCAAUUGAGCUGGCUGUCAUUCUCCCUGAGGUCCAGAGCUAAGUAUAUAGGUUGAGGUAUAAUUUUAGUGGCACAAUAUUGCCGCCAAUGUCUGUUCAUUGUCAUGUCAAUUUAACUGGAUGCUCACUCGUUCUUCUGAUGGUUUUCACUGUCCUUUUGCUCUCUCACUUCAGCCCCUGGCACCUGUCUAGAAUGCCCCAGGGUCACAUUGCAAAACCACACCUGAAAAGGAAAAUCAUUUCCAUCAUGCUCACCCUCUGAUGGGGUGGGCUCUGGUCUCCAGCUUGGCUAGGAUGUCAGCAUCAGGUCAAACCCCAAAUUUCUUCUCCCAAAUUACAGAAGCUUUGUGAGAGAGGUCAGUCUAAGCUUUCUAAAAUAGGCCAAGGUUAGCACAGGGACCAGAAAAUUCUGGUUUGUAGAGAACUCAAAAGGGAAUUGUGUGCAGUGACGAGUAGGUGUAGUGGCAGAACUCUUGUGUCCGAAGCAAUUCUUAUUCUAGUCAUAGGGAGGUAGCAUAUACUGAGUGAAUCCCAUGAUCCUGGGGCCACCCUUUCCAUUUCCUCAAACCUGACACCUACAGGAUAAUGUGGCAACUUGACUUUGAGAACAAUUUUAUGUCUUUAUCAUAUGUGUUUUAUUUCUCACAACCACAUUAGAGUAGUAGGAAAAGUAUUUUCCUCUAUUUAUGAACUGCACAAGCCUCAGUUUCUUCAAGGUGAUCUGCACCAAGUUCACAUAAACAGUAAGUGAUGGAAUCAGAACUAGAACCAGAUUGUUAGCCUCUGGUUCUCUCUCCCUUGUAUCCAGAGCACUCCUUCUCUGGCCUGACCUUCCAUACUUCCUUCUGCCCAUACAGACCCUCACUCUUGUUUUUCACUUCCGGAGCUUCUCUGCUAUUCAAAAGUAUUUCAUGGAGAUAUCUUGGUAGUGGAAAUUCUGAUGAUAAAUUAGUGAGGGUUUCUGGACCAUCACUAAGUCAAUGUCUUAGGCUGUGAAGUGGGGAGGAAUGAGUUCCUUCACUUUGAGAGAAUUCCUAAGAGAGAACAGUGCUGAAGCUAUCUCCCAGUGCCAUGGCCCUCUCGGCAAGCAUUUAUUUAUUUCUUUCAACUCAUGUAAAACAUCUGUGUUUAUAGGUUUCACUAGUUCCAUUUUACAGAUAAGGAAAUGGGCUCAGAGAUGUUUAAUAUCUGGUUCAAGGUGAUGUAGGUGACCUGUGUCUUAAAUGGGACUCAAACUCAGGCUUUCUAACUUCAGAGCCAAUGCCUUUUUUUUUUUUUUCUUCCCUUUGCACAUAUUUCCCUGGAAGUUCCCCUGGAGCAAUAUAUUCACCCUGGAAACUCUGAGCUCACUCUCAGCACAUCCAUAACUCACCGAGCCACAUGAUAAUUCUUCUCAUUCUCCCCCUUCCCAACCCUCACCAAUGCUUCCUGCUCUUCUCUUUACAGAAGAAGUCACUUUUUCCUCUCUCUUCCUUCCAUGAGUCCCAUCUUUUACAAGACUUUCUGCAGUUUGCUGCUUUGGAGGCUAGUCCCGGGAGAAAGUGGAAACCCUCACUGAAUGCUUCUUAUUGGAUAUUCCUCUGGAUUUCCAGUGCAGUUGGGCCCUUCUCUCUGGAUGAUAGAAAGAAUUGUAUGAACUAAGCCCCAAGCCUUAGUUUCUCUACAUUUGUGGUCCUAAAUAAUUUUGCAUACUGGAUUGGGAAACAGAAGAAUAUGUACAAGAUCGCAUCAUAGAGAGUCAAAUGAACUAGAUGAAGAGAGUCAAAGAAAAGAUGAACAGAGGGCAGAGAUGUUAUGCUGAAGUACCAGAACAAAGCUCCUUGGCUUUCAGGAAAGAUCCCGGGCGAUUCACAUACUGAGAGCUAUGACUUCAUCUCCCUCCCAAGCAAAUGAGUUCUUCAUUCUAUCUGUCGCAAAUGCAAGGCAUGACCCAGACCAGAACUAUAUGCUUCAAAGCUUAAAUUUGGCAUCUAUUGCUAGGUUUUGCUUCUCUUUCCAGUGUGCAGUGUAAAUGCCUCCAAAUUACUACCACUUGUCUUCCUUCCGUCUUCCCCCAGGGAAAAGGAUUCUCUAGCAAGUCAACGGACAAUUACCCAAGUCAAAAAAUUAACUUUGACUUGCUCACGCUUUUCCACAGAGUAGUAGCAAUAUUCCCCUCCACUCAGAUUUGCUUUGUUGGCUGGGAGACCCACAAGGAGAAAGGGUGAACAGUGCUCUUCAUUGCUCAUUAGUUGGUGCUGAAACAGAGGCUAAAUGAGCCUUCCCUGAAGCUCCACCUCCAGUCUCUUUGACAACUAAUUCCCACUAGAAUGACAGUCUCUCCUGUCUGCAUCCUGCAAUCUGCUACUACAGAUAAUGGUCAGGAACUCUGUAGCUGAAGUUAAGGCAUAGUGACCCCCAGCUCUGGGUAGCUUCUGCCUCAUUCCCACGUCCUGGGAAUGUUUGAUGUCUAAGAGCUCUGUGGCUUGCCAUGGUGCUUGGUGCUUUAGUACCUCUCAGUGAACUCUUGGUGCUUUCUUCUCUUCUCCCAAGACACAACCCACACGGUUGGUCCCCACAAGCAUGAACACACACAGGUGUACACACGCUCCCCUUUGGGGGGCUGUACAGAUGGUAGACUCAGAGGCAGCUUUCUGGCAUGACUUGGCUCUCUGGCACCACCUUCUGCAGCAUGGAGGGUGUUCUCAGCAUUUUCAGAACACGCUGUAGGUCUCUAAGCCUCUGGGAGAGACUGGAUUUCCUACCUCUAUUCUUUCAUCCUGAAGAAACUCUUCCAUAUACAGCUAUCACUCCAAACUUCCCAGCUUCUCAAAUCCCUAACAGGGCUUGUCAGUGACCACAUCUGUUCUACGACUCUACAACCUGUACUCCUCCUAUAGCAUCCUGCCCAGAAGUCAUUCAAUAAACACUCUGUAACAACGGAAAAUGUUCUUACUCCCCUGCCUCCUCUUCAGCCCACUCAUUUAAGGAUGUCUUCCUCUAUUAAAGCAAAAGCAAGAACACAGAUGUUCCUUCCCAUGCCUCAAACACAAGUGAAUCCACUCACCUGCUGGGAAUGCUGCAGGCAACCCAGGCAAGUGCAUGGCACAGUUGGAUGAACCUCCCUUAUGGCUUUGCUAGGGAAGAACAAUGAUCCUAAUGGCCAGUACAUGUGCAGAGUGCUACAAAACAGCUCCAGUGCUCAAACCCCAGACAGACUUUCUGAAAAACUUCUUUGUCUAAGUUCAUAGGUCCAGGCUAUAAACUCUGGUGAGAGAACCCCAGGCAUGCCACUUAACACUCAAUCACUGUGGCAUCUCAGCAGCAUGUCUCCGUUUCCAGACGGCGAUGCUGGGCACUGAUGAGAGUCAGAACUGUUGGUUUCGGGUUUCUCAGCCAUGUUAUCUAAGGACCGGCUGCUUGGGAUUUGAUCAGGGCUGGUUUGGGAGAGAGGCAGACGCCGUCUUUUCCCCAGAACAGACUACCCUUUGAGCUCUGCCGCCACCCGGGCUGGGGAUGGAAGAAAGAAAACAAAAAUCCUCACUGUAUGUGGUUCUCCGGAAUUUAACUUGGCUCUGGAAAGGGAAAAUUAAAGAGCAACACUGCUCAUCCACUCUCAACGCCCUCUGCAGGCAGCAAAGCCCAUUAGCACUGAGGCUUGUCAGGACUGGGAAGGCAUUGGGGUGAGGACAAGGUCAAUUUCUCUCCCAUCUCCUCCCUAGGCCAACACUAAGGUGUUGAGUAGGGAAGUCUGAUUUAAAGUCCCUUUACAAGAACCAGCCCUUUCACAAAGAUGGCACUGAAGGCAGAGAAGGAAGCCCCUGACCCUCCCAAAGCUGAAGCCAAAGCAAAGGCUUUGAAGGCCAAGAAAGCGGUGCUAAAAGUGUCCACGGUCACAGGAAAAAAAAGAUCCGCAUGUCACCUACCUUUUGAUGGCUCAAGACACUGUGUCUUCAAAGGCAGCCCAAAUAUCCAGGAAAGGGCACCCCCAGGGGAAACAACCUUGACCAUUAUGCCAUCAUCAAGUUCUCGCUGACCACUGAGUCAGCCGUGAAGAAAAUAGAAGACAACCACACACUUGUCUUCAUUGUAGAUGUCAAGGCCAACAAGCACCAGAUCCAACAGGCUGUGAGGAACCUCUAUGACAUUGACGUGGCCAAGGUCAACACCCUGGUCAGGCCCAAUGGAGGGAAGAAGACAUAUGUUCCACUGGCUCCUGACUAUGACGCUUUGGAUGUUGCCAACAAAAUUGGGAUCAUCUAAACUGAGUCCAGCUGGCUAAAUCUAAAUAUAAAUUUUUUCACCAUAAAAAAAAAAAAAAUAAUGAAG